GCAUCUGUAGCUCAGUUGUUUAGAGCGCUGCACCGGAAUCGCAGGGCCGUAGGUUCAAUUCCUACCAGAGAA
Molecule: transfer RNA, 72 nt
Filed under: Paramuricea clavata
Lineage: Eukaryota; Metazoa; Cnidaria; Anthozoa; Malacalcyonacea; Plexauridae
Description: tRNA-Ser
Rfam family: tRNA
About the family: Transfer RNA (tRNA) molecules are approximately 80 nucleotides in length. Their secondary structure includes four short double-helical elements and three loops (D, anti-codon, and T loops). Further hydrogen bonds mediate the characteristic L-shaped molecular structure. tRNAs have two regions of fundamental functional importance: the anti-codon, which is responsible for specific mRNA codon recognition, and the 3' end, to which the tRNAs corresponding amino acid is attached (by aminoacyl-tRNA synthetases). tRNAs cope with the degeneracy of the genetic code in two manners: having more than one tRNA (with a specific anti-codon) for a particular amino acid; and 'wobble' base-pairing, i.e. permitting non-standard base-pairing at the 3rd anti-codon position.
Source: RNAcentral